RNAcentral lists this ribosomal RNA (481 nucleotides) under uncultured bacterium. RNAcentral describes it as "partial 16S ribosomal RNA". It matches the Rfam family "Bacterial small subunit ribosomal RNA", at positions 28 to 523 of the family's 1533-position model. The record is from RNAcentral.
GACGAACGCUGGCGGCGUGCUUAACACAUGCAAGUCGAGCGGAAAGGCCACUUCGGUGGUACUCGAGCGGCGAACGGGUGAGUAACACGUGAGUAAUCUGCCCCUGGCUUUGGGAUAGCCACCGGAAACGGUGAUUAAUACCGGAUACGACCACUUCUCGCAUGGGAUGGUGGUGGAAAGUUUUUUCGGCCAGGGAUGUGCUCGCGGCCUAUCCGCUUGAUGGUGAGGUAAUGGCUCACCAUGGCUUCGACGGGUAGCCGGCCUGAGGGGGUGACCGGUCACACUGGGACUGGGACACGGCCCAGACUCCUACGGGAGGCAGCAGUGGGGAAUAUUGGACAAUGGGCGGAAGCCUGAUCCAGCAACGCCGCGUGAGGGAUGACGGCCUUCGGGUUGUAAACCUCUUUCAGCAGGGACGAAGCGCAAGUGACGGUACCUGCAGAAGAAGCACCGGCCAACUACGUGCCAGCAGCAGCCGCAG